Long non-coding RNA from Coffea eugenioides, 1004 nucleotides. RefSeq lists it as uncharacterized. NCBI's taxonomy places the organism in Eukaryota, Viridiplantae, Streptophyta, Magnoliopsida, Gentianales, Rubiaceae. The record is from RefSeq and is a predicted model, not a curated record. The transcript has 3 exons.
UGCCCCGACAGAAGACUUGACCUCAAUUCGGUGGAAUUAUCAGGGCGUCAUUAUUAAACACCGUGCGAUUGUAAUCUUAAACGCCUGAUUAAAGAGGAAGAAAGGAAAAUAAAUUUUAAAAAAGAGAGAGAAAAGAAAAAAUUGAAGUCCAUUUGCCGUUGUGAGACAAAAAUUUUUCUUUUUCUUUGAUAAUUCCAUCCAUCACUAAAAUAAAAUUGUUCUCUUCCCGUUCUUUACUUCUAUUCAAGGAUUGUUCGUUGCCCCAGGUGGACAUCAGAUUCUGAGAUUAAGUUGGGCCAGCUCGGCCCUUCGUUUUCUUUUUAUCGGUGAACUGAGGAUCCAGAUUUUUCGAGGAGAUUCAGGUCCCUCAGGUAGUUUACCAGACUGGAGAAGAAGUUUGCAAUUCCACGGUGUGAUUCUUCCGUUCCGGCCGAGACUUUUUGAAUUUUGUUGACAGCUGGCAACCUUGGUUGAUUCAGAUGAUGCCAUGAGGAUACGAAUUUCUUUUCUGGAGGAGCGGAGGCUUGGAAGCUGAUUGUCAUGCGCAGUUGAAGUUUCACUGUUUUGGCAUUUCCGCAAUUUUGCUUUUACAGAAUGAUGACAUAUAUGGGGACUCCUAGGCGUAACAGCUUGCACGUAAGAAGACCAAAUGAAACAAUGAGGCUGCUUGUCACAACCUUUGUAGGAAUUGUUUUUGGAUUCUUUUUAGGUGUAUCCUUUCCGACAAUCUCAUUGUCUAAGGCAUGCAACCACUUUCUUUUUCCCCUUUUUUGGUUAAUAAUUUCCGACUGUGCCUCAUAAUGGUAGAUGACAUGAAGAAGCAGAAAAAUAUUCUAGAAUUCUAAAUGUCAAUCAACCAAGUCUUUGAAGGAUGCUGGGAAGAAAUCUCACUCUAUUGACCUUAUGAUUGUAAACCCAAAAUCAUUUAGAUGAACACCAACAGCAAUCAUUACGAUAUCUGCCAUUGAAGAAUAACCAUAUCUGCCAUUGAAGAAUAAAUCACA